UACGUAGGGUGCAAGCGUUAAUCGGAAUUACUGGGCGUAAAGCGUGCGCAGGCGGUGAUGUAAGACAGUUGUGAAAUCCCCGGGCUCAACUUGGGAACUGCAUUUGUGACUGCAUCGCUGGAGUGCGGCAGAGGGGGAUGGAAUUCCGCGUGUAGCAGUGAAAUGCGUAGAUAUGCGGAGGAACACCGAUGGCGAAGGCAAUCCCCUGGGCCUGCACUGACGCUCAUGCACGAAAGCGUGGGGAGCAAACAGG
Molecule: ribosomal RNA, 253 nt
Filed under: uncultured bacterium
Lineage: Bacteria
Description: partial 16S ribosomal RNA
Rfam family: Bacterial small subunit ribosomal RNA
Source: RNAcentral